Molecule: ribosomal RNA, 483 nt
Filed under: uncultured bacterium
Lineage: Bacteria
Description: bacterial SSU rRNA
Rfam family: Bacterial small subunit ribosomal RNA
Source: RNAcentral
CAGGACGAACGCUGGCGGCGUGCUUAACACAUGCAAGUCGAACGGAAAGGCCCUGCUUUUGUGGGGUGCUCGAGUGGCGAACGGGUGAGUAACACGUGAGUAACCUGCCCUUGACUUUGGGAUAACUUCAGGAAACUGGGGCUAAUACCGGAUAGGAGCUCCUGCUGCAUGGUGGGGGUUGGAAAGUUUCGGCGGUUGGGGAUGGACUCGCGGCUUAUCAGCUUGUUGGUGGGGUAGUGGCUUACCAAGGCUUUGACGGGUAGCCGGCCUGAGAGGGUGACCGGCCACAUUGGGACUGAGAUACGGCCCAGACUCCUACGGGAGGCAGCAGUGGGGAAUAUUGCACAAUGGGCGGAAGCCUGAUGCAAGCAACGCCGCGUGCGGGAUGACGGCCUUCGGGUUGUAAACCGCUUUCGCCUGUGACGAAGCGUGAGUGACGGUAAUGGGUAAAGAAGCACCGGCUAACUACGUGCCAGCCGCAGC